Molecule: ribosomal RNA, 253 nt
Filed under: uncultured bacterium
Lineage: Bacteria
Description: partial 16S ribosomal RNA
Rfam family: Bacterial small subunit ribosomal RNA
Source: RNAcentral
UACGGAGGGCGCUAGCGUUGUUCGGAAUUACUGGGCGUAAAGAGCACGUAGGCGGCUUUGUAAGUUAGAGGUGAAAGCCCGGGGCUCAACUCCGGAACUGCCUUUAAGACUGCAUCGCUUGAAUCCAGGAGAGGUGAGUGGAAUUCCGAGUGUAGAGGUGAAAUUCGUAGAUAUUCGGAAGAACACCAGUGGCGAAGGCGGCUCACUGGACUGGUAUUGACGCUGAGGUGCGAAAGCGUGGGGAGCAAACAGG